CAAUAAGCGGAGGAAAAGAAACCAACAGGGAUUGCCCUAGUAACGGCGAGUGAAGCGGCAACAGCUCAAAUUUGAAAUCUGGCUACUUUGUAGUCCGAGUUGUAAUUUGUAGAGGAUGCUUUUGGUGAAGUGCUUUCUGAGUUCCCUGGAACGGGACGCCAGAGAGGGUGAGAGCCCCGUACAGUUAGCAACUGACCCUUUGUAUAGCUCCUUCGACGAGUCGAGUAGUUUGGGAAUGCUGCUCUAAAUGGGAGGUAUAUCUCUUCUAAAGCUAAAUAUAGGCUAGAGACCGAUAGCGCACAAGUAGAGUGAUCGAAAGAUGAAAAGCACUUUGAAAAGAGAGUUAAACAGCACGUGAAAUUGUUGAAAGGGAAGCGCCUAUGACCAGACUUGUCUCUAUCAGUUUUGGUAGUUUUCGGACUGCUUUACUCUGUUAGUACAGGCCAACAUCAGUUUGUUGUCGGGGAGAAAGGCUUAGGGAAUGUGGCUCCUUUGGGAGUGUUAUAGCCCUUUGCAUAAUACCCUUCGGCAGACUGAGGACCGCGCUUCGGCAAGGAUGUUGGCGUAAUGG
RNAcentral lists this ribosomal RNA (571 nucleotides) under Meredithiella norrisii. RNAcentral describes it as "LSU rRNA". It matches the Rfam family "Eukaryotic large subunit ribosomal RNA", at positions 44 to 637 of the family's 3401-position model. The record is from RNAcentral. Lineage: Eukaryota; Fungi; Ascomycota; Sordariomycetes; Microascales; Ceratocystidaceae.